GCCGGGCGCAGUGGCACGUGCCUGUAGUCCCAGCUAUUCGGGAGGCUGAGGCUGGAGGAUCUCUUGAGUCCAGUAGUCCUUGGCUGUAGUGCGCUCUGCCAAUCGGGUGACCGCACUAAGUUCGGCAUCAAUAUGGUGACCUCCCAGGAGCGAGGGACCACCAGGUGGCCUAAGGAGGGGUGAACUGGCCCAGGUCAGAAACAGAGCAGGUCAAAACUCCUGUGCUGAUCAGUAGUGGGAUCACGCCUGUGAGUAGCCACUGCACUCCAGCCUGGGCAACAUAGCCAGACCCCGUCUCU
This 299-nucleotide signal recognition particle RNA is filed under the name Cebus imitator (Panamanian white-faced capuchin). RNAcentral's name for it is "Metazoan signal recognition particle RNA (ENSCCAG00000014411.1)". It matches the Rfam family "Metazoan signal recognition particle RNA". From Rfam's summary of the family: The signal recognition particle (SRP) is a universally conserved ribonucleoprotein. Lineage: Eukaryota; Metazoa; Chordata; Mammalia; Primates; Cebidae. The record is from RNAcentral.